This 771-nucleotide ribosomal RNA is filed under the name Lactiplantibacillus plantarum. RNAcentral describes it as "bacterial SSU rRNA". It matches the Rfam family "Bacterial small subunit ribosomal RNA", at positions 22 to 757 of the family's 1533-position model. The record is from RNAcentral. Lineage: Bacteria; Bacillati; Bacillota; Bacilli; Lactobacillales; Lactobacillaceae.
GCUCAGGACGAACGCUGGCGGCGUGUUCUAAUACAUGCAAGUCGAACGAACUCUGGUAUUGAUUGGUGCUUGCAUCAUGAUUUACAUUUGAGUGAGUGGCGAACUGGUGAGUAACACGUGGGAAACCUGCCCAGAAGCGGGGGAUAACACCUGGAAACAGAUGCUAAUACCGCAUAACAACUUGGACCGCAUGGUCCGAGCUUGAAAGAUGGCUUCGGCUAUCACUUUUGGAUGGUCCCGCGGCGUAUUAGCUAGAUGGUGGGGUAACGGCUCACCAUGGCAAUGAUACGUAGCCGACCUGAGAGGGUAAUCGGCCACAUUGGGACUGAGACACGGCCCAAACUCCUACGGGAGGCAGCAGUAGGGAAUCUUCCACAAUGGACGAAAGUCUGAUGGAGCAACGCCGCGUGAGUGAAGAAGGGUUUCGGCUCGUAAAACUCUGUUGUUAAAGAAGAACAUAUCUGAGAGUAACUGUUCAGGUAUUGACGGUAUUUAACCAGAAAGCCACGGCUAACUACGUGCCAGCAGCCGCGGUAAUACGUAGGUGGCAAGCGUUGUCCGGAUUUAUUGGGCGUAAAGCGAGCGCAGGCGGUUUUUUAAGUCUGAUGUGAAAGCCUUCGGCUCAACCGAAGAAGUGCAUCGGAAACUGGGAAACUUGAGUGCAGAAGAGGACAGUGGAACUCCAUGUGUAGCGGUGAAAUGCGUAGAUAUAUGGAAGAACACCAGUGGCGAAGGCGGCUGUCUGGUCUGUAACUGACGCUGAGGCUCGAA